RNAcentral lists this ribosomal RNA (372 nucleotides) under uncultured Rhodocyclaceae bacterium. Its description in RNAcentral is "bacterial SSU rRNA". It matches the Rfam family "Bacterial small subunit ribosomal RNA", at positions 1009 to 1382 of the family's 1533-position model. Lineage: Bacteria; Pseudomonadati; Pseudomonadota; Betaproteobacteria; Rhodocyclales; Rhodocyclaceae. The record is from RNAcentral.
UUGGUGCUCGAAAGAGAGCCUGGACACAGGUGCUGCAUGGCUGUCGUCAGCUCGUGUCGUGAGAUGUUGGGUUAAGUCCCGCAACGAGCGCAACCCUUGUCAUUAGUUGCCAUCAUUCAGUUGGGCACUCUAAUGAGACUGCCGGUGACAAGCCGGAGGAAGGUGGGGAUGACGUCAAGUCCUCAUGGCCCUUAUAGGUGGGGCUACACACGUCAUACAAUGGCUGGUACAGAGGGUUGCCAACCCGCGAGGGGGAGCUAAUCCCAUAAAGCCAGUCGUAGUCCGGAUCGCAGUCUGCAACUCGACUGCGUGAAGUCGGAAUCGCUAGUAAUCGCGGAUCAGAAUGUCGCGGUGAAUACGUUCCCGGGUCUU